AACGCACAUUGCGCCCUUUGGUAUUCCAAAGGGCAUGCCUGUUCGAGCGUCAUUUGUACCCUCAAGCUUUGCUUGGUGUUGGGCGUCUUUUGUCUCCAGUUCGCUGGAGACUCGCCUUAAAGUCAUUGGCAGCCGGCCUACUGGUUUCGGAGCGCAGCACAAGUCGCGCUCUUUGCCAGCCAAGGUCAGCGUCCAGCAAGCCUUUUUUUUCAACCUUUGACCUCGGAUCAGGUAGGGAUACCCGCUGAACUUAA
Molecule: unclassified non-coding RNA, 254 nt
Filed under: uncultured Pleosporales
Lineage: Eukaryota; Fungi; Ascomycota; Dothideomycetes; Pleosporales
Description: sequence contains 5.8S rRNA gene, ITS2, 28S rRNA gene
Rfam family: 5.8S ribosomal RNA (bases 1-52)
Source: RNAcentral